RNAcentral lists this ribosomal RNA (176 nucleotides) under uncultured bacterium. RNAcentral describes it as "partial 16S ribosomal RNA". It matches the Rfam family "Bacterial small subunit ribosomal RNA", at positions 335 to 526 of the family's 1533-position model. The record is from RNAcentral.
ACUCCUACGGGAGGCAUCAGUGGGGAAUUUUCCGCAAUGGGCGAAAGCCUGACGGAGCAACGCCGCGUGAGGGAUGAAGGCCUCUGGGCUGUAAACCUCUUUUAUCAAGGAAGAAGAUCUGACGGUACUUGAUGAAUAAGCCACGGCUAAUUCCGUGCCAGCAGCCGCGGUAAUAC